This 2352-nucleotide ribosomal RNA is filed under the name Triticum aestivum (bread wheat). RNAcentral's name for it is "partial small subunit ribosomal RNA". The record is from RNAcentral. Lineage: Eukaryota; Viridiplantae; Streptophyta; Magnoliopsida; Poales; Poaceae.
AUGGAAGAAUACGGAGAAGUUUAUUGCUCCGUGGAGAAGUGGUGCACGCUGGUCAGCCAGUUAAACGCCAGGCAACGAACGCGGCUACGUGGCACCAGCUUGCAGAAUUUUUUGCAGAUACCUAGCAUGCAAAUGCGAAAGUGUUUGCUUAAAUACAUCAUUCAAAAAUAUGACCCGAUUAAAAAAAGAUUCGUGUUGCGUCCGACAAAAGGUGGCAUAUCCUUGCGGACGGAUGAUGUCUUUCAUAUUUUUGGCCUUGUGAAUAAGGGCAAAGAUGUUAUGAAGGCAUUAGGUAAAAUGGACGAGUACGUGAAGGAAAUGGUUCCUUCUAAGUUCGUAGACGCGCGAAGUGGAGAAAUAGUGAUCGAUCAGUUGAUCAACAACAUAGUUUCGAGUGGGACGUAUGAUGACGACUUUGUGCGGCGAGCGGUAUUAGUCCUCAUUGGCACAAUAAUAGCACCGCACUCCACCAGACAUGUUCCACAUUUUCUUUACCAGUUGGUGGAGGACGUCGAAGCCAUAAAAUCAUAUAACUGGAAUGCGUUCACGUUACGCGUCUGCAUUGAAGGAAUCACAAAGACUGUUAAAGAUGUUAAAAAAUUCAAGUGGCCUGUUGGAAAUCUGGCGCUCAUCCAGUACAUGUACUGGGAGAAGGUGCAACCAACUUUAGUAGAAACAUUCGAUCCUUUGUUGUCGGAGUACCCAUUGAUGGUAAAUUGGUCCGAAAUGGAGGCUAAGAAGCGUGACAUAUAUGACAACGAGAACGACCGUGGUCAUGGCACGAUUGAUGAUUUAAUAAGCGAACAAUAUAGACAUGCCAGAAUAGCAAAAGAAGCAAUAAUCGAAGAGGAAGAUACCGAGCCACCUUCACCUAAAGGUGGAGGCAGAACUAGAAAAGGUUGUAAGCCCACAGCUUCAUCGAGCAGAGGCGGUACGAAAGAACACUUCAUGAAAUGCAUAAGAGAUAUGCAGAAAGAGAUACGUCUAAUUCCUGAGAAAUGUGCUGAGAUAUUGCUCAACAAGCUAAGUAAGAAGGGUUUGCUGGUGAAGCGAAGUUGGGACUUCCGUGAUGACCGCGCUUUUGAGGACGAAAGUGAUGAGUUGGUGAGAAAGUACAAGCCAAAGUAUCAUACGGAAGUUACUUCAUCUCCUUUGGAAGAACGCGAGGAGGAGGAGAUGGAUGCAUCCUUCACGGGUCCAAAUGGUACGAACUUUCCCAAUGACGAAGGCAUGCCCAGUACACCUGGUAAAGGUGUUGAAAACGACCCCUUUAUUAUUGAGGAUAAUGGUUCACCCAAGGAAGCAUCACCAUCAUUAGGCACGAAUGAUUUUCCUUCUCUUACUAGAAACCCACAGAAAGAAAAUGCAGUAUCAGUCGGGUCUAGUGCUGAAAAUUCAGCGGAAGGUACUUACCCUAGUCCGGCAACAAUCUGUAAGGACGCGAUUAAUAAUGGGACUGAGGAGCAUGAUGGGAAGCGGAAACGCCAACAGUCAAAGUAUUGUCGGUCCCCCUUUAUUAUUGAGGACGGUCCACACAAACGUGUGAAAAAAAGUCUGUUUCGUAUGCGUGAUGUUCUCCUUAGUACGGACUUUAUGGAUGAGAAUCAGAUAGAGGGGGCGAGGAUUUAUAUCGACACGCUAGCAGACUCGCCGAAGCAUUGUAAGCAGACUGUGGUCCACAUGACGAGAAUAGGUGGGGAAACGUGUACGGCGGAAAUGCUUCAAGCUAUCACUUCGGGCGACUGGUUGAAUGGCGCUGUCAUGGCUGAUCGGCAUGUUCUAACAUCAUGGGUGUCAUACUGCCUCAUACAGCGCGCUAAAGGAAAGCUGAAAAACUCGAACAUGAACUACAUGGAAUUUUUCACGAAAGAAUCAAAAACUGUGUCAAGAGUAAUUGACGAGUACUUCGCAAAAGAUAAGGCAUUUUUCCCUCUGAAUGUGAACAAGAAUCAUUGGAUAACCAUUGUCAUGCACACGAAGAAGAAAGAGUUUCAAGUUCUAAAUUCUACUGGUAAAAUAAGCAAGGCAGUUCAUGCGAAGAUUGCUUUGAUGAGGGCAGAAAUUGCUGUAGAUACAAAUCAGGUCAACUCUGCUAUAGGUACACAUCAUCCAGAUGUGUCUAAAUGGCCAAUAAAGGAGUACAAAAUGCCGAGACAAAGUGACGGAGUGUCUUGCGGACUUUUCGUGAUGAAAUGCAUCGAACUCUGGGACGGGGAUGCCUUCAGACAUGACUUUGACCAGGACGAGAUCAAUUCUUCAAGGGGACGCAUUCUCGCGGAAAUACUUUUUUCAGAGAGCAACACACUGACUAAGGUGAAGGAGAAGAUUCUGAAAAUUAUGGAGAAGGAAUAA